GAUGACUGCAGAGAUGUGGUUUCCCUUGUGGCCUGUGUGCAGGUGGUGCAUGGCUGUCGUCAGCUCGUGUCGUGAGAUGUUGGGUUAAGUCCCGCAACGAGCGCAACCCUUAUCUUAUGUUGCCAGCGCGUAAUGGCGGGGACUCCUGAGAGACUGCCGGGGUCAACUCGGAGGAAGGUGGGGAUGACGUCAAGUCAUCAUGCCCCUUAUGUCCAGGGCUUCACACAUGCUACAAUGGCCGGUACAAAGGGCUGCGAUGCCGUGAGGUGGAGCGAAUCCUUGAAAGCCGGUCUCAGUUCGGAUCGGGGUCUGCAACUCGACCCCGUGAAGUCGGAGUCGCUAGUAAUCGCAGAUCAGCAACGCUGCGGUGAAUACGUUCCCGGGCCUG
This 388-nucleotide ribosomal RNA is filed under the name uncultured Mycobacterium sp. Its description in RNAcentral is "bacterial SSU rRNA". It matches the Rfam family "Bacterial small subunit ribosomal RNA", at positions 993 to 1381 of the family's 1533-position model. Lineage: Bacteria; Bacillati; Actinomycetota; Actinomycetes; Mycobacteriales; Mycobacteriaceae. The record is from RNAcentral.